RNAcentral lists this long non-coding RNA (225 nucleotides) under Carica papaya (papaya). RNAcentral describes it as "long non-coding RNA (CPAP_LNC014742)". Lineage: Eukaryota; Viridiplantae; Streptophyta; Magnoliopsida; Brassicales; Caricaceae. The record is from RNAcentral.
UAGAUUUAACUAUUAUGCACUCAUAAUUUAUUUCUGUAUCUGGCACCCUUAUGCCUUAAUUGGCAUUUGGAAUGUCACACUAUACCUGAGCCAAAACAUAUCGGUAGUGAUCGGUACAAUGAGGGUUUGGCUGCAUACCAGGAAUGGUCCAAGAAGGAUCGUUCUAUGCGCUAUGCUAUGUUGUAUUGCAUCCAUAACGAUCUCAUUGGAGAGUUUGAGAGUUGU